Eleginops maclovinus (Patagonian blennie) is the source of this 1694-nucleotide long non-coding RNA. RefSeq lists it as uncharacterized. Lineage: Eukaryota; Metazoa; Chordata; Actinopteri; Perciformes; Eleginopidae. The record is from RefSeq and is a predicted model, not a curated record. The transcript has 5 exons.
CAACAUUAGAAAGGGUUCAAAUGAAAUGCAGUUUAUGCAGACAUGGUUUGAUCACCUGAAAGCCAGUUGGAGCUCCCCGAGCUCGCUGUCUUUGAGCGUGAAGUCAUCUUCCAACUUCUCUACGAUCACAGAGUACGACUCACCCACCUUCUUCUUCCACUCGUCUUCAUCAGGUCCAGAUAAAGCGGGGAUCAUGGCUGAGGGCUAAAAAUAAUCUCCUCUGAGUGGAAUGCCCGACAACUAUGACAACUGAUCUCCCUCCAAAUGCAACCAGACGCGUUUCACUGUGACUGUGUCCGUCAGAACCACCACGUCCCAAAACUUACCGGGCUGCACCUCUCCAGCUGCAGGCAGAGAAAAAGCAUGUAUUUAUGACACAGGAGGAAGGAAGGAUAGCUAGUAAAAUAAUACAAGACAGGAAGUGGUGAUAUCACAGCAGGAAGAUCAUGGAACACAAUACCUGGUCUGACAGGAGGUGGAACGUCUGCUCUGCGGCUACGCUGACAUUCAUCUCCACCUUGAAGCACAACAUGUGGUUUUCCUCCAGCGUGUACAGUCUGACCUGAGAACGCAGCAGAAACACAAUGAGACGUUGAGCUUUUGUGUCUAUAAAUAGGAUUUCACAUUAUUCCAAUGUGCGCACAUCGAGUUUGAUUGCUGUCAAAACUGCCACAUAAACUGGUGGGAGCAUGAGGGAUUAUAAAUAUGGUAAUCAUACAUAUUUUGAGGGUGGCUACAUUCAACUCUUUUCUCAAAAUGUCUGAAAGAUGACUUGUAGAGAGGGAUGGAGCAGAGGAAGGUUUAAGGUUUUGGCUUUAGACAAUGUUUUCUGACUUAUCUUCCAUUACUCCACAAUUUAAUUGAAAAAUAUGGGCCUUCCUCCAGGGCAGACUGUGUGACGGGGCAGCUUGUCUAACACAAUACAGAUCAGAAUGCAUGGAGGAUUCACAACAGCUGUAACCAUUUAAAAAGCUAUAUCCUGGAUGCUAAGACAAACAUUACUGACCUUGUUUUUCUCAGAGGAUAAUACCCAGUUGUUUCUGGUAUCCAUUAGUUUCAGUGCGGAUACAUUAUUGUAGCUCAGGUACAUCUAAGAAAACAAAAGGGACAGUCUGAAUAUAUAUUGGUAAAAAAUCUAGGCUCAAUAAGUGUAUGUGUGCAAGAAAAUAGCAAUACCUGGUUACUUGGGUCCCAGGGCACAGAGACAGGCACUUCAGUUUGCUUGCAGGAGAUAAUGUAUUUCCUGUAAACAUGCAGGGCACAAGGAUUCAGGGACAACAGAAAAAAACCCAGAGAACCAGACCAAUAUAAAGCUUAUCAUUCUAGCAAUGAGCCAACACAUUUAGUUAACAAAUAGUGGAAGAAAGAUUAUACUGCAGUCAGGGUAUUUCACAGUUGAACAAUGAGGUUAUUAUGCCUAACAGACUCAGGUCUGCUCUGCUGUGAUAUGCUUUUCUGCCAAGUCACUCGCUGCUGCAGAAUAUUGUAAUAGAUUCUGUCGGACAAAGCAGAGAAAGGACGACUGUGUCUGUACGACUUCCAAUGCCUUUCUACAGUAUUCAUAGACUAAAGGUUGUGUUUGUCUCUUUUAUGUUUGCCCUGCUUGUGUUUGCAUCAUUUGGUGUCGUGAAAGGCGCCUCCAAAUGAAAUGUAGUAUUAUUUGUUCAAUGUAUUAAAUAAAGGGCCACUUACGG